This 213-nucleotide unclassified non-coding RNA is filed under the name uncultured fungus. RNAcentral's name for it is "sequence contains ITS1, 5.8S rRNA gene". Lineage: Eukaryota; Fungi. The record is from RNAcentral.
AAAAUGAAUAGCCUCGCUAUACCACAUUCACACAUUUGGAUGACUGUGUACUGGGGUAACCCCCGUCUGGAAGACCAAUAUUCGCGUGUUGGAUGGUAAACGGUAUAGCCUUCGGCAACCUCACCUUAUGUGAACUGAUUCGUCCCUGGUGGGAGGGCAGUGAAAACUGCUUGUCAGCAUUGUAGUUUUACGGUGCCGUGGACAGCCCAUCAA